Non-coding RNA from Podarcis lilfordi (Lilford's wall lizard), 79 nucleotides. NCBI's taxonomy places the organism in Eukaryota, Metazoa, Chordata, Lepidosauria, Squamata, Lacertidae. The record is from the annotation of a GenBank genome assembly.
GCUUUAAAGAAUAGCUAAGUCGGUAGAAUGUGAGACUCUUAAUCUCAGGGUCAGUGGGGUUUGAGCCCCACUUUGGGUG